GCAAGUCGAACGAGACCUUCGGGUCUAGUGGCGCACGGGUGCGUAACGCGUGGGAAUCUGCCCUUGGGUUCGGAAUAACAGUUGGAAACGACUGCUAAUACCGGAUGAUGACGUAAGUCCAAAGAUUUAUCGCCCAGGGAUGAGCCCGCGUAGGAUCAGCUAGUUGGUGAGGUAAAGGCUCACCAAGGCGACGAUCCUUAGCUGGUCUGAGAGGAUGAUCAGCCACACUGGGACUGAGACACGGCCCAGACUCCUACGGGAGGCAGCAGUGGGGAAUAUUGGACAAUGGGCGAAAGCCUGAUCCAGCAAUGCCGCGUGGGUGAUGAAGGCCUUAGGGUUGUAAAGCUCUUCUACCCGGGAUGAUAAUGACAGUACCGGGAGAAUAAGCUCCGGCUAACUCCGUGCCAGCAGCCGCGGUAAUACGGAGGGAGCUAGCGUUGUUCGGAAUUACUGGGCGUAAAGCGCACGUAGGCGGCGAUCUAAGUCAGAGGUGAAAGCCCGGGGCUCAACCCCGGAAUAGCCUUUGAGACUGGAUUGCUUGAAUCCAGGAGAGGUGAGUGGAAUUCCGAGUGUAGAGGUGAAAUUCGUAGAUAUUCGGAAGAACACCAGUGGCGAAGGCGGCUCACUGGACUGGUAUUGACGCUGAGGUGCGAAAGCGUGGGGGAGCAACAGGAUUAGAUACCCUGGUAGUC
RNAcentral lists this ribosomal RNA (692 nucleotides) under uncultured soil bacterium. RNAcentral describes it as "bacterial SSU rRNA". It matches the Rfam family "Bacterial small subunit ribosomal RNA", at positions 57 to 795 of the family's 1533-position model. The record is from RNAcentral.